Alosa sapidissima (American shad) is the source of this 767-nucleotide long non-coding RNA. RefSeq lists it as uncharacterized. The transcript is spliced from 2 exons. The record is from RefSeq and is a predicted model, not a curated record. Lineage: Eukaryota; Metazoa; Chordata; Actinopteri; Clupeiformes; Clupeidae.
GUGAUAUACCGCUCACGUGAGACAGGCCCGUCUGCCUAACACGUGUUAGAUGGUUGCUUCUACUCACUAUAUCAUUCUUUAUCAGGCAACCCCGUCUGCGUCUGGUACCGGUAUCAAACGCAAGAAGAAGAGAAUGUCUGAGUCACUGCCACCACAAAAAAAAGCCAGGAUUGGAGAGUUCCAAACUAUGGUGAAACGGUUCCGAGAGCAGAAUGAUGAUGAUGAUGAUGAUGAUCACCGCUGGUACUUCCGUAUGUCUGUUGCGAAGUUUGAUGAAUUGGUUUGUCACAUCACUCCAUUUAUCACCCACGAGAGCAUCCAGAGCAUACCUGUUGGUAUCGAUGAGAGACUUGCACUGACUUUGCACUUCCUGGCACAAGGAAGCUUUCUGGAUACUCUAUCAUCUAGGUACAAACUGGAACAGCGCACAAUAUCCAUGCUGAUUCCAGAGGUAUGCCAGGCCAUAUGGAAAAGUAUUCAGCCGGGCUUGGCAUUGGGCCUACCCAAGAAAGGCCGUGGAAAUCCCCAACGGUGGAGGGUUUUGAAGAGUGAUUAUUACAGUGCCACUGACAUUAAGAAAGCAUGUUUUGCUUUGAACACUUUCCUUAAGCACUGACGCCAGUCCGCUCAACUUUACUUAGUGACAAGGUCAGAUGGACGUGUGCGAGAUUAUAUUGCCAGUCUCGUAUCACAAUAUUGCCAAUGUUUUACAAAUGACAAUAGUCUAUAAAUUGUACAAAUGGGUUCUAAUAAACUUCCUGCCGAAA